UACAGGGGGUGCAAACGUUGCUCGGAAUCAUUGGGCGUAAAGCGCACGUAGGCGGUUCGUUAUGUCGGAUGUGAAAGCCCUUGGCUUAACCGAGGAAGUGCAUCCGAAACUGGCGAGCUAGAGUACGAAAGAGGAUCGCGGAAUUGCCGGUGUAGAGGUGAAAUUCGUAGAUAUCGGGAGGAACACCGGUGGCGAAGGCGGCGAUCUGGGUCGAUACUGACGCUGAGACGCGAAAGCGUGGGUAGCAAACAGG
RNAcentral lists this ribosomal RNA (253 nucleotides) under uncultured bacterium. RNAcentral describes it as "partial 16S ribosomal RNA". It matches the Rfam family "Bacterial small subunit ribosomal RNA", at positions 524 to 776 of the family's 1533-position model. The record is from RNAcentral.